GCCCGCUCAGAACUCAAAGAUUGACGGGACCGCACAAGCGGCGGAGCAUGCGGAUUAAUUCGAUGCAACGCGAAGAACCUUACCAAGGCUUGACAUAUAGAGGAAACGUCUGGAAACAGUCGCCCCGCAAGGUCUCUAUACAGGUGGUGCAUGGUUGUCGUCAGCUCGUGUCGUGAGAUGUUGGGUUAAGUCCCGCAACGAGCGCAACCCUCGUUCUAUGUUGCCAGCACGUAAUGGUGGGAACUCAUGGGAUACUGCCGGGGUCAACUCGGAGGAAGGUGGGGAUGACGUCAAAUCAUCAUGCCCCUUAUGUCUUGGGCUUCACGCAUGCUACAAUGGCCGGUACAAAGGGCUGCAAUACCGUAAGGUGGAGCGAAUCCCAAAAAGCCGGUCCCAGUUCGGAUUGAGGUCUGCAACUCGACCUCAUGAAGUCGGAGUCGCUAGUAAUCGCAGAUCAGCAACGCUGCGGUGAAUACGUUCCCGGGUCUU
This 489-nucleotide ribosomal RNA is filed under the name uncultured Microbacterium sp. RNAcentral's name for it is "bacterial SSU rRNA". It matches the Rfam family "Bacterial small subunit ribosomal RNA", at positions 888 to 1382 of the family's 1533-position model. Lineage: Bacteria; Bacillati; Actinomycetota; Actinomycetes; Micrococcales; Microbacteriaceae. The record is from RNAcentral.